ACUUCUAAUUUUUAAUUUCCUAUUCAACAUGUAGGCUGCAUGGUUCACCUGUUUGUUUGUUUGUUUUUGAAAGAAAUCAGCCCAAUAAAAUUUUAAGAAGAAUUAAGUAUGAUGAUUAUUGAUACUUGGUGCUAACUCUCCUCUGAUGUUCUACCAUUCAAAAUGAAAAUCAUUGAAAAUCACUGAGUAAUUGAACAGUAUGGAAAUGAACAUGAUCUUCUACAAAGCCAACUCUGAGAAAGGGAAAACAGAAGUACAGUGGCCCAAGCUGAAUGAUCAGCAGAAAGGGCUUCCUACCGAAGCCUGGUUUUCCUACCCAUUGGUUUUCAUGACAUGUUGGCUGAAACUAAAACUUCAAGCUCACCUUGGAAUGAGAAGAGGUGAAAUGUGCUGUAAAGGGAAAGAAAGCUUCCCUUCUGAGAGUAAAGCCAUGCUGUGGGAAGCAAAGUGAACGUCCCAUGAACAAAUGAGGAAACUAGGAGAGAAAUGUUGAAGAAGUCCAGGGAAAAGCAAAGAAGUUACCUAUGACAUACGUACAGGUGAAAAAUAAUAAAAGGCCAUUUUAGCUAGCUUGGUGUAAGUGAACAGGAAUACAUAUUUUACAAACAGAAAUCAAGAUAUGUUAUACAUACUCAAUUUAGAUUGUCUGUAGUCAAAAAUUUGGAUUUGGCUGGGAAUAUGGCCUAGUGACAAGAGUGCUCACCUCAUAUACA
Molecule: long non-coding RNA, 713 nt
Organism: Perognathus longimembris pacificus (Pacific pocket mouse)
Lineage: Eukaryota; Metazoa; Chordata; Mammalia; Rodentia; Heteromyidae
Exons: 3
Source: RefSeq, a predicted model, not a curated record